AACACUGCAGGGAUAUAGUCGGGAAUCGGUGAAGAUUGGGAAUGUUCUGCAUCGUUUUCUCAGGACCCUGCAGGGGUCAAUUCUCCAUUCAAACGGGUAUUUUCAAAGAAAUUCCAGUCGAUCAGUAGCGAUCCUGCUGUUUGGCAAUAAUAAUUUGGUUCAAUGUUUAUGUUUUGUUUUCGUAGAGUUUGACAGCUACGUAGAGAAGAAAUAAGCCGCGAAGUCGAAAAGAACGUUUGCUAUAAAUCGUCAAGAUUAUGGCAAACGGGGGACUCACUGGUUUCUUCGAGAAACCGUCUGGGUCACAGAUUCAAAACAGAUGUAAUUCCAUUUCUUCCCGAGAGGAAGAUUAUAUGGGACAGUCUUCAGAGUCAGAUUAGAAGAAGUUAGGAAGUAAUAGAUGUCGAUAAGGUAGUUCUUUGGCCUCAUCGACCUGCCAGAAGACGGUUACAGUCUUCUAGCGUGAGCCAUCCUUGAAGAAAGUCGAUAUCUUCUGGAUAACCCCUAGGAUAAUUGAGACAGCAUUAGAAUUAAGAAUGUAUGAAUGAUCAAGAAUAAGCGUUGAGUGAAUGAAGUAAGAAGGGUACCCGAUUGAAAGAGCGGAUAAAUGAGAGUGUGAAUGAAAUUAGAUACCUCGGUAGAUUGAAGAGAAAAGCUAUUUGAUCUGAAACUAAUUUAAUAAAACCAACAGCAAAAUUGAAUACAAAAAAAAAAUAAAAAAAUAAGUAAAUAAAAUAAAAAGAUUAUACUGCGAGCCACUACCAGCAGAUAUCUUAUAACGUUAGUAUUUUACGGGAUUAAUUUAAACCAUAAAUGGAUCCGGAGAAUUGUACCCAAAUCGAAUAAAACGGUUAUGUAAACCAAGAUAAUAAAAAAAAAAUACCUUCAUAAAAGUUAUUUUUUUUAAAUGGGAGGUGCGAUGAUUGUUACCAAAGGCUUGGGAACAAGUGGGUUGCUCAAGGCAGGGUGUUCAAGAUUUUGUAGGGAUAGGAAUAGCGUAGGUCUUGACAAGGACAAUAGAUUAUUAAAUUAAAAUAGGUACAAAAGAUAUAAUUAUGGCACAAUUACAAAUUGUAAAACUAUCCUAACAUAAAACAGAAAUCUUCUAAACAAUUACUGGUCUAAAUUAGUUUAAAUUUCGAUAAGUAUAUAAAACAGACGCAUAAGAUAUCUCAGUGUAUAUAAACUGCUAUAAAAAUCGGACCUCAACACUAACCCCUCGACGUUACGUCAACUAUUAGUCGGGACGGUUGUCAACACUGAGUCCCGGAAGAAGCAAAGGAGGAGAGAGGGAUGAAGAGGAGGAAGGGAGAGAGGAGAAGGAGUGAUGUGAGCUGAGAUCGAAGAAAGGGGGAGAGUAGUUACGACCUUAGAACCGAGCGGACGCAUUUUUCAAAGGACGGUUCACGAAACGACGGGAGUGACUAAAAGUCGAAUACGAUCAAAAAAAGUGUUCGUGAUACGGUUCACGUCAGAAUCGGAGGGGUUUUCCCGAUACGCCGAAGUCAUCAGCAAGGCCCCUAGUGUCCGGAGGGAACUGGUUCUUAGAGGGCCUCCUCCGAGCGCGUGGACUCAGCAACGCUAUCCUGGUUACUAAGAUCGAACUGGAAGAUUGGACCAGCCCGUUUCGAUCGGAUACGGCUCAGCGAAUCCCGGAGAAUCCUCUUCGUGCACGUGGACGGGCUGAAUCGGACCAUUGCGACUUCCUUAACCGGAAAACCAUCCCAGGUCGCCGGGCAGGAAAGCGACCGUUAUUCUGGAUUCUGGCGAGUCCCUUGCUGGUGGUUGUUCGUGCGUUUCGCCAUUGCACCGCCACACGCCACGGGCAGAAGUGACCAAAGUCUUUGAGGUGAGGGUUUAGCUUGCUAGACCCAAAAUCCGAUGCGUCACGUCGCCGUGAGCGAGCAAGCGGAACGUCGGAAAUACCAUCCUGCACCAAUCAACCCACCCCAAGAACAUCUCCACGUGCUAAUCCUGGUUCACGGGAAACCAACCCCGGUCGCCCUAGUACCGGCAGUGAAUCCGUAAGACAGGAAAGCGAGCGUUAUUCUGGAUUCUGGCGAGUCCCUUGCUGGUGGUUGUUCGUGCGUUUCGCCAUUGCACCGCCACACGCCACGGGCAGAGGUGACCAAAGUCUUUGAGGUGAGGGUAUAGCUUGCUAGACCCAAAAUCCGAUGCGUCACGUCGCCGUGAGCGAGCAAGUGGAACGUCGGAUAAACCCUCUAGCGCCAACAAGACCACACCAAAAACUUCCCCAAGUGCUGGACCUGGAUCGGACGAGAGGAACGAUUCGGCGAGUUCCGGGCUGGUGGACCCUGAGCGUCACGCCAUUGCCAGCCCACACGCCACGAGCUGCACCGGCCGUAGUCUUUGAGGUGAGGGUCUAGCCAGCUAGAACCCAAUAUCCGAUGAGCCUCUGCGCCGUGAGCGAGCCCGGGAACGUCGAGUCCCAGCAUAACCCCAGAAGUACCCGUUGGAGAUCUGCUGUGUACCACCUCCGCCUCCAAUAGCCUACGACCGUGUCACCAAGCGAAGUAGCCAGCUCCACCACAAAGCCAGCCAACACGACCCACCUCUCUCUCUCCAUAGCCAGCAUGCGUCACCAUGGGACCCACCAAGAACAGAACGGCCACAACGAUUAUUCCCCCCUUAAACGAAUGUAAGUCAAAAGAAAUACAUGUAUAAGCUAAA
Aedes albopictus (Asian tiger mosquito) is the source of this 2691-nucleotide long non-coding RNA. RefSeq lists it as uncharacterized. The record is from RefSeq and is a predicted model, not a curated record. Lineage: Eukaryota; Metazoa; Arthropoda; Insecta; Diptera; Culicidae. The transcript has 2 exons.